UAUGGUUCCUUGGAUCGUACCUACUACAUGGAUAACUGUGGUAAUUCUAGAGCUAAUACAUGCCAAUAUGCCCUGACCCGCAAGGGAACGGGUGGAUUUAUUAGAACAGAACCAAUCGGUCGCGGCUUCGGUCGUGGCCGUUUUACUCUGUGAUGACUCUGGAUAACUUUACUGAUCGCAGUCGGCCUUGUGUCGGCGACGGAUCUUUCAAAUGUCUGCCCUAUCAAUUGUCGAUGGUAGGUGAUCUGCCUACCAUGGUGAUAACGGGUAACGGGGAAUCAGGGUUCGAUUCCGGAGAGGGAGCCUGAGAAACGGCUACCACUUCUAAGGAAGGCAGCAGGCACGCAAAUUACCCAAUCCCGGCACGGGGAGGUAGUGACGAUAAAUACGGAUACGGGACUCUUCAGAGGCUCCGUAAUUCGAAUGAGUACAAUUUA
This 437-nucleotide ribosomal RNA is filed under the name Chiorchis fabaceus. RNAcentral describes it as "SSU rRNA". It matches the Rfam family "Eukaryotic small subunit ribosomal RNA", at positions 111 to 527 of the family's 1831-position model. Lineage: Eukaryota; Metazoa; Platyhelminthes; Trematoda; Plagiorchiida; Cladorchiidae. The record is from RNAcentral.